AGAGUUUGAUUAUGGCUCAAGAACGAACGCUGGCGGCAGGCCUAACACAUGCAAGUCGAGCGCGCCCUUCGGGGUGAGCGGCGGACGGGUUAGUAAUGCGUGGGAACGUACCCUUUGGUAGGGAAUAGCCACUGGAAACGGUGAGUAAUACCCUAUGAGCCCUUCGGGGGAAAGAUUUUAUCGCCAAAGGAUCGGCCCGCGUUAGAUUAGGUAGUUGGUGGGGUAAUGGCCUACCAAGCCUACGAUCUAUAGCUGGUUUUUAGAGGAUGAUCAGCAACACUGGGACUGAGACACGGCCCAGACUCCUACGGGAGGCAGCAGUGGGGAAUCUUGGACAAUGGGGGCAACCCUGAUCCCAGCCAUGCCGCGUGAGUGAAGAAGGCCUUAGGGUCGUAAAGCUCUUUCGCCUGUGAAGAUAAUGACGGUAGCAGGUAAAGAAACCCCGGCUAACUCCGUGCCAGCCGCAGC
RNAcentral lists this ribosomal RNA (468 nucleotides) under uncultured bacterium. RNAcentral's name for it is "bacterial SSU rRNA". It matches the Rfam family "Bacterial small subunit ribosomal RNA", at positions 8 to 518 of the family's 1533-position model. The record is from RNAcentral.